AAAAGAAACUAACAAGGAUUCCCCUAGUAACGGCGAGUGAAGCGGGAAGAGCUCAAAUAUGAAAUCUGGUAGCUUCGGUUGCCCGAGUUGUAAUCUAGAGAAGUGUUUUCCGUGCCGGCCCAUGUACAAGUCCCUUGGAACAGGGCGUCAUAGAGGGUGAGAAUCCCGUCCUUGACAUGGACCCCCGGUGCUUUGUGAUACACUUUCAACGAGUCGAGUUGUUUGGGAAUGCAGCUCAAAAUGGGUGGUGAAUUCCAUCUAAAGCUAAAUAUUGGCGAGAGACCGAUAGCGAACAAGUACCGUGAGGGAAAGAUGAAAAGCACUUUGGAAAGAGAGUUAAACAGUACGUGAAAUUGUUGAAAGGGAAACGAUUGAAGUCAGUCAUGCUCUUAGGAUUCAGCCGUUCUGCGGUGUAUUUCCUUUGAGUGGGGUCAACAUCAUUUUUGAUCGAUGGAUAAAGGCACGAGGAAGGUAGCACUCUCGGGUGAACUUAUAGCCUCGCGUCAUAUACAUUGAUUGGGACUGAGGAACGCAGCAUGCCUUUAUGGCCGGGGAUUCGUCCACGUACAUGCUUAGGAUGUUGACAUAAUGGCUUUAA
RNAcentral lists this ribosomal RNA (598 nucleotides) under Naganishia adeliensis. Its description in RNAcentral is "eukaryotic LSU rRNA". It matches the Rfam family "Eukaryotic large subunit ribosomal RNA", at positions 57 to 643 of the family's 3401-position model. The record is from RNAcentral. Lineage: Eukaryota; Fungi; Basidiomycota; Tremellomycetes; Filobasidiales; Filobasidiaceae.